GAUGAACGCUGGCGGCGUGCCUAAUACAUGCAAGUAGAACGCUGAAGGAAGGAGCUUGCUCUUUCCGGAUGAGUUGCGAACGGGUGAGUAACGCGUAGGUAACCUGCCUGGUAGCGGGGGAUAACUAUUGGAAACGAUAGCUAAUACCGCAUAAUAGUAGAUAUUGCAUGAUAUCUGCUUGAAAGGUGCAAUUGCAUCACUACCAGAUGGACCUGCGUUGUAUUAGCUAGUUGGUGAGGUAACGGCUCACCAAGGCGACGAUACAUAGCCGACCUGAGAGGGUGAUCGGCCACACUGGGACUGAGACACGGCCCAGACUCCUACGGGAGGCAGCAGUAGGGAAUCUUCGGCAAUGGACGGAAGUCUGACCGAGCAACGCCGCGUGAGUGAAGAAGGUUUUCGGAUCGUAAAGCUCUGUUGUAAGAGAAGAACGAGUGUGAGAGUGGAAAGUUCACACUGUGACGGUAUCUUACCAGAAAGGGACGGCUAACUACGUGCCAGCAGCCGCGGUAAUACGUAGGUCCCGAGCGUUAUCCGGAUUUAUUGGGCGUAAAGCGAGCGCAGGCGGUUAGAUAAGUCUGAAGUUAAAGGCUGUGGCUUAACCAUAGUACGCUUUGGAAACUGUUUAACUUGAGUGCAAGAGGGGAGAGUGGAAUUCCAUGUGUAGCGGUGAAAUGCGUAGAUAUAUGGAGGAACACCGGUGGCGAAAGCGGCUCUCUGGCUUGUAACUGACGCUGAGGCUCGAAAGCGUGGGGAGCAAACAGG
This 765-nucleotide ribosomal RNA is filed under the name uncultured Streptococcus sp. RNAcentral's name for it is "bacterial SSU rRNA". It matches the Rfam family "Bacterial small subunit ribosomal RNA", at positions 28 to 776 of the family's 1533-position model. The record is from RNAcentral. Lineage: Bacteria; Bacillati; Bacillota; Bacilli; Lactobacillales; Streptococcaceae.